RNAcentral lists this ribosomal RNA (468 nucleotides) under Brevibacillus laterosporus. Its description in RNAcentral is "bacterial SSU rRNA". It matches the Rfam family "Bacterial small subunit ribosomal RNA", at positions 107 to 560 of the family's 1533-position model. Lineage: Bacteria; Bacillati; Bacillota; Bacilli; Caryophanales; Paenibacillaceae. The record is from RNAcentral.
UGAGUAACACGUAGGCAACCUGCCUGUAAGACUGGGAUAACAUAGGGAAACUUAUGCUAAUACCGGAUAGGGUUUUGCUUCGCCUGAAGCGAAACGGAAAGAUGGCGCAAGCUAUCACUUACAGAUGGGCCUGCGGCGCAUUAGCUAGUUGGUGAGGUAACGGCUCACCAAGGCGACGAUGCGUAGCCGACCUGAGAGGGUGACCGGCCACACUGGGACUGAGACACGGCCCAGACUCCUACGGGAGGCAGCAGUAGGGAAUUUUCCACAAUGGACGAAAGUCUGAUGGAGCAACGCCGCGUGAACGAUGAAGGCUUUCGGGUCGUAAAGUUCUGUUGUUAGGGAAGAAACAGUGCUAUUUAAAUAAGGUAGCACCUUGACGGUACCUAACGAGAAAGCCACGGCUAACUACGUGCCAGCAGCCGCGGUAAUACGUAGGUGGCAAGCGUUGUCCGGAAUUAUUGGGCG